RNAcentral lists this long non-coding RNA (1258 nucleotides) under Salmo salar (Atlantic salmon). RNAcentral's name for it is "lncRNA (ENSSSAG00000114909.1)". Lineage: Eukaryota; Metazoa; Chordata; Actinopteri; Salmoniformes; Salmonidae. The record is from RNAcentral.
UAUCCGUUGGGGUAAAUCAUGCUGUGUUUAUUGUACGGAGAGAGAAACUCUUCAGAAAUAACACCAAUACAAGAUAUCAGGUGUUUAAAUAUGGACAUAUUGGUCCCAUAGCAUUCACCAGCAACAUGAACAUGUUCAGGACAAUCAGGAAGGUAGAGGACAUGAGCAUGUUCAGGACAAUCAGGAAAAUAAAGGACAUGAGCAUGUUCAGGACAAUCAGGAAGAUAAAGGACAUGAGCAUGUUCAGGACAAUCAGGAAGGUAGAGGACAUGAACAUGUUCAGGACAAUCAGGAAGGUAGAGGACAUGUUCAGGACAAUCAGGAAGGUAGAGGACAUGAGCAUGUUCAGGACAAUCAGGAAGAUAGGACAUGUUCAGGACAAUCAGGAAGGUAGAGGACAUGAGCAUGUUCAGGACAAUCAGGAAGGUAGAGGACAUGUUCAGGACAAUCAGGAAGGUAGAGGACAUGUUCAGGACAAUCAGGAAGGUAGAGGAGAUGUUCAGGACAAUCAGGAAGGUAGAGGAGAUGUUCAGGACAAUCAGGAAGGGAGAGGACAUGUUCAGGACAAUCAGGAAGGUAGAGGACAUGAACAUGUUCAGGACAAUCAGGAAGGUUGAGGACAUGUUCAGGACAAUCAGGAAGGGAGAGGACAUGUUCAGGACAAUCAGGAAGGUAGAGGACAUGAACAUGUUCAGGACAAUCAGGAAGGGAGAGGACAUGUUCAGGACAAUCAGGAAGGUAGAGGAGAUGUUCAGGACAAUCAGGAAGGUAGAGGACAUGAACAUGUUCAGGACAAUCAGGAAGGUAGAGGACAUGAACAUGUUCAGGCCAAUCAGGAAGAUAGAGGACAUGAACAUGUUCAGGACAAUCAGGAAGGUUGAGGACAUGUUCAGGACAAUCAGGAAGGUAGAGGACAUGAACAUGUUCAGGACAAUCAGGAAGGGAGAGGACAUGUUCAGGACAAUCAGGAAGGGAGAGGACAUGUUCAGGACAAUCAGGAAGGUAGAGGCUAGAAACAUUUCAAUCAAACAGCCCAGAAACACAAUAUUACACAUUCAGUGUGAAAGUUAGACAUUGUAUAACAUGUAGAACAUUAAAUAAUAAAUAUAGUGUCAAAGCUUUUUACCCUCUAAACUGGACUUGAUGGGAAUGAAGACAGGAGAUAUGAGGGGGGUGAUACUGAUGGGAGAUAUGGGGGGGGUGAUACUGAUGGGAGAUAUGGGGGGGGGUGAUACUGAUGGGAGAUAUGAGGGGGGGG